This is a long non-coding RNA of Mya arenaria, 981 nucleotides long. RefSeq lists it as uncharacterized. The transcript has 2 exons. The record is from RefSeq and is a predicted model, not a curated record. NCBI's taxonomy places the organism in Eukaryota, Metazoa, Mollusca, Bivalvia, Myida, Myidae.
UUCUCACUGUCUAAUAACAAGGCAAUCUGAAAUAAAAGUACAGUUAAAUGAUGAAGUGGUGAACUGUUAAACAUAAUUUAGAUGUUCUUACCAGCCACUUGUUCUUCAGUACUUAUUCAGUAUAACAAUCUUUCACAAUAAGCACAUUCUCGAUUUGGCACAGUAUUUAGUUUGAUAAGCAAGUUGAAUACGAUACAGAAUACUUGUUACGAGGGCAACGUCAGUUACAUUUCAAGUACAUGCACUUCAUAGUUUUGCGAAGUUAAAGAACAUAUUCAUUAACGUUCGACAGGAAAUUGGCGUUUUAUGAACAGCAAAGGAUUAUUCUACAAAUUCUGAAGUAACGGGUUUUACGAUGGCAGUUUCUACGAAAUUUCUACAUAUAUGUGUUCUGAGUCUUCUCAUCUUGGAGUUUGUAGAAAGCCAGCGAACACAAUGUUGUAGUAAAUGUCGACUAGUGGGAUAUUUGUGUGUCAGAUUUGGGAACGGAUGCAGGUGCCGGAACCCGGGAAAUAACGACCCCAUUGUGGGAGAUUCACUGCCUUACGACAACGAAGACUUCAAACCGCCUUAUCAACCCAUUAACGAAAUAGUGGACUUCCAGCCAAUAUAUAUAAGGAAUUAACACAUGCAAUGUUUAUCGUCGGAGUUAUCUGUUUAAAAGUAACAUUAUGAUUACUCGAAACUUAAGGUGUGGAAGUGGUAUUAAAAUUGUUGUUUCCAAAGCAUCGAUUUUGAAAAAAAAGUUUUAAUAAGUUUAACUAUCUUUGGGGAAAUAAAGAUUUUCAUGUUUUGGAGCGAAAAUAUAUACUUCUCUUUUGGAAUACUAGUAUGACAAUUGCGAGAUUUGAUCACCGAUAUACUCAACGUCGAAUUAUUAGUUUUAUAUUCAUAUUUCCAUGUUUGAAUGUUAAAUGAAAGAACAUGGUUUUUGUAGGCUGCCUCUAUUUUACAAUAUAUGAUGUGUGUAAGCAAAACUAA